CCCUUUUCGUAUUGACAACAAUAAUAUUCCGUACACUGCAACGUCGUAGGUAUUGGUUAAAAUACAUUACGGCUUUCUACACUUUCGCGCGCGACUCUUUUACCGACAAUUUUACUCCGACUUAUAUUGAUAGCGAAUGUUCCGCGUGGUCGCAGGUACCGUUUCUACACCGAGUAUUAUCGCGGGUGAAUCGGUCUUCUCCGUCAACGCAUUUGUCCCUUUCUGUACCAGGUAUACGGAAUUUCAUA
This is a non-coding RNA of Cinara cedri, 248 nucleotides long. The record is from the annotation of a GenBank genome assembly. NCBI's taxonomy places the organism in Eukaryota, Metazoa, Arthropoda, Insecta, Hemiptera, Aphididae.